UGGGGAAUAUUGCACAAUGGGCGAAAGCCUGAUGCAGCAACGCCGCGUGAGGGAAGACGGUUUUCGGAUUGUAAACCUUUGUCCUCAGUGAAGAUAAUGACGGUAGCUGAGGAGGAAGCCACGGCUAACUACGUGCCAGCAGCCGCGGUAAUACGUAGGUGGCAAGCGUUGUCCGGAAUUACUGGGUGUAAAGGGAGCGCAGGCGGGAGAGCAAGUCAGUGGUGAAAUGCAUGGGCUUAACCCAUGAACUGCCAUUGAAACUGUUUUCUUGAGUGGAUCAGAGGCAAGCGGAAUUCCGAGUGUAGCGGUGAAAUGCGUAGAUAUUCGGAGGAACACCAGUGGCGAAGGCGGCUUGCUGGGGUCUAACGUGACGCUGAGGCUCGAAAGUGUGGGGAGCAAACAGGAUUAGAUACCCGAGU
This 419-nucleotide ribosomal RNA is filed under the name uncultured bacterium. RNAcentral describes it as "bacterial SSU rRNA". It matches the Rfam family "Bacterial small subunit ribosomal RNA", at positions 355 to 791 of the family's 1533-position model. The record is from RNAcentral.